Long non-coding RNA from Pieris rapae (cabbage white), 292 nucleotides. RefSeq lists it as uncharacterized. The transcript has 3 exons. The record is from RefSeq and is a predicted model, not a curated record. Lineage: Eukaryota; Metazoa; Arthropoda; Insecta; Lepidoptera; Pieridae.
UCAGUUUUUACGAUGCCGUAAUACUUGUUAAUUGUAGAAAUUGACUGUGAACUGCACUUCUAUUUGCUAAUAAAUUGUUUUUGUUCAGUAAUGCUGUCUAGACGAAAAAGAUUGGGUGUAAUCAGUAUUGAAGAUUACGAGUGGCAGCCCUAAGCCUCCAGGCUGUUAGGGCUGUACGUGCCGAAGAAUAAUUACUCAGGUUAUACGCUGGGAACUCUGGUGAUCUCCGCAAGACAACUUUACCAUAUUUUACGUGAAGUUUGAAUGGUUUUUGAUUCGCCGUCGUUCAUUC